Molecule: ribosomal RNA, 348 nt
Filed under: Triticum aestivum (bread wheat)
Lineage: Eukaryota; Viridiplantae; Streptophyta; Magnoliopsida; Poales; Poaceae
Description: partial small subunit ribosomal RNA
Source: RNAcentral
AUGGUCUUGGCCUUGGCAGUGAUUCGCAAAGGGGCCUUGCGGAGACAACCCAACGAAGGCAUGCUGCGAUCGAAAGGGCAUGGGUCUUCCGCCCGCAGGGAACAGAACAUGGAGGCAACUGCGGCUGAUGCGACCAAGCAGAACAGCCAGCAAGGCCAACGUGGCCAUGGUGGAUAUGAACGAGAUGGGCCAGGAGGUGAUGCAGGGGGUCGGACGUCGCGGACAACGUUAGAACGAGGCACGAGGAGAAGCAACGGGGAUGGACAGAGGAGAUGGGAUCACUGUUGGUGUCGUUGGUGGUUCUCCGGCAACGAGGUGCACUGGGGCGGUGCUGCUGCCAACUGCUAG